RNAcentral lists this transfer RNA (77 nucleotides) under Verrucomicrobiota bacterium. RNAcentral's name for it is "tRNA-Arg". It matches the Rfam family "tRNA". Rfam says of the family: Transfer RNA (tRNA) molecules are approximately 80 nucleotides in length. Their secondary structure includes four short double-helical elements and three loops (D, anti-codon, and T loops). Lineage: Bacteria; Pseudomonadati; Verrucomicrobiota. The record is from RNAcentral.
GCAUCCGUAGCUCAAUUGGAUAGAGCAUCUGACUACGAAUCAGAAGGUUCAAGGUUCGAUUCCUUGCGGAUGCACCA